UUUUUUAAGUUAAUUAUAUUUGGAGGUAUUUUACAAUGCUCAUGACGCGUUUGAAUAAGACAUUUUCUUUGUAUUGUAUUUCCUAAUAGAAGUGUCUACAAAACUUAUUUUCUUAUGUGUUUAACUGAUGUCAGCCAACCUUUCCUGAUCUACUUCCUGGGUGUUUACUUUGGUUCUCCUAAGAAGGAACUCCAUUAAGACAAAGGCAGUUUUGCCACUGUCUUGUGUUAGUCGGACACUAAUAAUAGUUCUCGUCCCUUUCUGAGGUCUUUUAGAGACUGAACUCCGUAUCUUAGUGUCUUGACCUGGUUCUACUCGGUUUGGGACAAUAGCUUGGAGGCUGGGUCCUCCCUGCCUCUCAGGCAAAGGAGGUCUGACCUGGUUCUCAUAGUCCUCAACUAAUCCAGGUGUCACUGAAUGUGGGUAACAACUGACCCCCCCCCCCCCCGGCCCUGGCACCACUGGCCCACUUGCAGUUUUCAGCCGUGAACCAGUAGUAACCAAGGUGAUCGUGUCCAGCGCUCGGAACUUGCGUGUGGUCAAAAGGUUCUGAGAGCCAUUGUGAGUCACCGUGACACCUCUGGGCUUAGCCAGUCAGGCCCUGGGGCUCAGGGCAGGAAGGAUAAGACAAGGAGGAGAAGAAUCCUCUCUCUCACUCCUUGACCUCUCUUCCAGACGUUCCUGAAGCGAGCUCGGUGGUCUGAGAGGGAACAAGGCAGAUAAAGCGAUCUCUGAGGACUCCCCUGGAAACAGGAGUGGUGCUCCUUCGUGAAGCCGUCUGUGGCGUCAGCGAGUCAUGGAGAAAGAAAAACCUGAAGUGAAACCCAGCACACCCGCACCCAGCAACGAGGAGAACACACCUAGACCCUCCAAACGCCCCAGGCCUUCCCAAAAUAUUGUGUGCUUUUUACUGAAUAGGCAGCUGGGGAGGCACAGAAGUGACGUGGACCUGUCCAUGUGGGUGUGGAUGCUGGACUGAGCCACGCCCCGGUGCAGGUGGCCCCUUCCAAACAACCAUGGGUCUUGCCUGCUCACCCCCACCCCCACCCCCACCCCCAACCCCACCUCUUGAAAAUGCGAAAGAAAAAUUGAUUUAAAAUAACAAACACCUCUCUCGUGUCAGCUCUUGAAAUAAAAGCUACGUUUUCCUC
Molecule: long non-coding RNA, 1151 nt
Organism: Leopardus geoffroyi (Geoffroy's cat)
Lineage: Eukaryota; Metazoa; Chordata; Mammalia; Carnivora; Felidae
Exons: 3
Source: RefSeq, a predicted model, not a curated record